GGGAAGUGCGUGUAUGUGUGUGUGUGUGUGUGUGUGUGUGUGUGUGUGUGUGUCUAGGCUGACGCCUGCCUCCCUGGCCAGCCUCCAGCUGCAGG
Molecule: microRNA precursor, 95 nt
Filed under: Loxodonta africana (African savanna elephant)
Lineage: Eukaryota; Metazoa; Chordata; Mammalia; Proboscidea; Elephantidae
Description: miRNA (ENSLAFG00000032566.1)
Source: RNAcentral